UACGUAGGGGGCUAGCGUUGUCCGGAAUCAUUGGGCGUAAAGCGCGUGUAGGCGGCCCGGUAAGUCCGCUGUGAAAGUCCAGGGCUCAACCCUGGGAUGCCGGUGGAUACUGUCGGGCUCGAGUCCGGAAGAGGCGAGUGGAAUUCCUGGUGUAGCGGGUGAAAUGCGCAGAUAUCAGGAGGAACACCAAUGGCGAAAGGCAGCUCGCUGGGACGUGA
This 218-nucleotide ribosomal RNA is filed under the name uncultured bacterium. Its description in RNAcentral is "partial 16S ribosomal RNA". It matches the Rfam family "Bacterial small subunit ribosomal RNA", at positions 524 to 739 of the family's 1533-position model. The record is from RNAcentral.